Molecule: non-coding RNA, 69 nt
Organism: Triticum aestivum (bread wheat)
Lineage: Eukaryota; Viridiplantae; Streptophyta; Magnoliopsida; Poales; Poaceae
Source: Rfam
UCCAUUGCUCAGUUGGUAAAGCACAAAGCUCUUAACCUUGUGGACGUGGGUUCAAGCCCUGCGAUGGAA